UCGUGAUCCGCCCACCUGGGGCUCCCAAAGUGCCGCGAUUACAGGCGUGAGCCACUGCGCCUGGCCCACCAUUGGCCACCCUUUUCAUUCUUAACUGAGACUCCUCCCUGCACCCCAGCUCCUGUCGAUGCUCGACUUCCUCCCGCCUCCGAGGGGCCGCGAGUCUACCGACUGGCGGGGUAACUCCCCUUGCCAACCCCACGAAAUGGCCCGCAGUUUGGCUGAGACGGUUACAGCGCUACCGUCAUGUCCCUCCGAGGAGAUGGCAGCAGCCUUUCGCUCUCAUUGGUCUCUAAAUGAACCGUCAUGUACCUGUGGACGGCCUGAGGAAUUACCGAUCUCAUUUCCAACCUGCACCCCGCCACGCUUCCACCGCGGCGCUCACCGCCCCCAUUAUUUUGAAGCACAACUCAGAAUCGUAAACAUUUCGGUACCAAUUUCUAAAGAUGGAGACUCUUCGAACAGAGUGACAUCUUUAUUAUAUCUCUUCAAGUCACAAUGUCAAAUAUCAAGUGAAUGAAUUUCCCUACUUGAUGGAAAUUUGGGGGUUUUCCGUUUAUUUAAAUAAGGAUCCAAAUAAGUUCUACAGCUUAAAGUUAACUGACAUGUCACUUAAGUCACUUUCUUCAGUCUCUUGGCAUUUCUCUUUUAUCUCUUUCAAUAGAUUUCUUGGGGAAACUAGAUUUUAUCCUGUAGAGUUUCCCGCAAUCUGGACUUCACUGAUUAGUCAGGGUGCUAUAUUUCAUGCUUCUCUGCCCUCUGUGUUUUCUAUAAACUGAUAGCAAAAUAAAUAAAUAAAAAUAAACUGAUAAUAGGCUUGAUCUGA
Macaca mulatta (Rhesus monkey) is the source of this 826-nucleotide long non-coding RNA. RefSeq lists it as uncharacterized. NCBI's taxonomy places the organism in Eukaryota, Metazoa, Chordata, Mammalia, Primates, Cercopithecidae. The record is from RefSeq and is a predicted model, not a curated record.